CAGUGAAUCAUCGAAUCUUUGAACGCACCUUGCGCUCCCUUGGUAUUCCGAGGAGCAUGCCUGUUUGAGUGUCAGU
Molecule: ribosomal RNA, 76 nt
Filed under: Rhizopogon corsicus
Lineage: Eukaryota; Fungi; Basidiomycota; Agaricomycetes; Boletales; Rhizopogonaceae
Description: partial 5.8S ribosomal RNA
Rfam family: 5.8S ribosomal RNA
About the family: 5.8S ribosomal RNA (5.8S rRNA) is a component of the large subunit of the eukaryotic ribosome. It is transcribed by RNA polymerase I as part of the 45S precursor that also contains 18S and 28S rRNA. Functionally, it is thought that 5.8S rRNA may be involved in ribosome translocation.
Source: RNAcentral